This 346-nucleotide unclassified non-coding RNA is filed under the name soil metagenome. Its description in RNAcentral is "partial contains 5.8S ribosomal RNA, internal transcribed spacer 2, and large subunit ribosomal RNA". The stretch from base 1 to 121 matches the Rfam family "5.8S ribosomal RNA", at positions 35 to 154 of the family's 154-position model. The record is from RNAcentral.
GAUGAAGAACGCAGCGAAUUGCGAUAAGUAAUGUGAAUUGCAGAUUUUCAGUGAAUCAUCGAGUCUUUGAACGCACAUUGCGCCCUCUGGUAUUCCGGAGGGCAUGCCUGUCCGAGCGUCAUUGCUGCCCUCAAGCACGGCUUGUGUGUUGGGCCCCGCCCCCCGAUCCCGGGGGGCGGGCCCGAAAGGCAGCGGCGGCACCGCGUCCGGUCCUCGAGCGUAUGGGGCUUUGUCACCCGCUCUGUAGGCCCGGCCGGCGCCUGCCGAUCAACCAAACUUUUUUCCAGGUUGACCUCGGAUCAGGUAGGGAUACCCGCUGAACUUAAGCAUAUCAAUAAGCGGAGGA